Molecule: ribosomal RNA, 163 nt
Filed under: uncultured bacterium
Lineage: Bacteria
Description: partial 16S ribosomal RNA
Rfam family: Bacterial small subunit ribosomal RNA
Source: RNAcentral
AACGCCGCGUGAACGAUGAAGGUCUUCGGAUCGUAAAGUUCUGUUGUCAGGGAAGAACAAGUGCCGUGCGAAUAGAGCGGCACCUUGACGGUACCUGACGAGGAAGCCCCGGCUAACUACGUGCCAGCACCCUCGGUGACUGAGCGGGCUGGCAAGGCGCAUA